RNAcentral lists this long non-coding RNA (2042 nucleotides) under Anser cygnoides (Swan goose). RNAcentral describes it as "lncRNA (ENSACDG00005010968.1)". Lineage: Eukaryota; Metazoa; Chordata; Aves; Anseriformes; Anatidae. The record is from RNAcentral.
CAGAAAUUGAUAAGUCUUCCAAUUUUUGAAAGGGACUGAGGCAAAAAAAACCAUACAGCCUACUUUUUAUAUAGUUUUAUAUUUUCACAAAGCAGAAAGAGUAAUAACAAAUUGGAGAUUAGCACAAAUAUGAGUUGCUCAUAUGUUUGUUUUAAAUAAACACAAUACAUGUAAAACUUAUCGUCAGACUUUUCUGCGUUAGCAGUGACCUAAGGCAUCAAGGACAGAACUGCACAUCCUCAGAGAUGUUCUCCUGCUAUCGAUGAAAUUCAGUGAAAACAUUAGCAAAACUCCCACAAUCAGCAUUUUUCUCCUUGGGUCCUGCAACAUUAUCAGCUGGCCAGAAUAGACAGGAGAUAAAAGAAAAUCAUCAUAAUUACUGAUCCAAGACAAGAAAAUAACCCUUCUCCUAGGACAUUAAAAUCUUAAGGAAAAAAUAAUAAAAAAAAGGAAGUUGUGGUGUUCUGCUUUGUUUUUCUUCUUCCUUCUUUUUCUUCUUCUUCCUUCUUUUUCUUCUUCUUCUAGCUCCGCAGAAAGGGAUCUGGGGGUUGUGGUUGACAGCAAGUUGAAUAUGAGCCAGCAGUGUGCCCUGGCAGCCAGGAGGGCCACCCGCACCCUGGGGUGCAUCAGGCCCAGCACUGCCAGCCGGGCGAGGGAAGGGAUUGUCCCGCUCUGCUCUGCGCUGGGCGGCCUCACCUCCAGCACUGUGUGCGGUUUGGGUGCCACAACAUGAGAAGGACAUAAAACUGUUGGAGAGUGUCCAGAGGAGGGCGACGAAGAUGGUGAAGGGCCCAGAGGGGAAGACCUAUGAGGAGCGGCUGAGGGCACUGGGCCUGUUCAGCCUGGAGAAGAGGAGGCUGAGGGGGGACCUCAUCGCAGUCUACAACUUCCUCGUGAGGGGGAGUGGAGGGGCAGGUGACCUGUUCUCCGUUAUCACCAGUGACAGGACCCGCGGGAACGGUGUUAAGCUGAGGCAGGGGAAGUUCAGGCUGGACAUCAGGAAGAGGUUCUUCACCGAGAGGGGGGUCGCACACUGGAACAGGCUCCCCAGUGAAGCAGUCACGGCACCAAGCCUGUCUGAAUUUAAGAAGCGUUUGGACUGUGCACUUAGUCACAUGGUCUAAAUUUUGGGUAGACCUGUGCGGUGCCAGGAGUUGGACUCAAUGAUCCUUAUGGGUCCCUUCCAACUCAGGAUAUCCUAUGAUUCUAUGAUUUUUUUUCCCUCUAACUACCAGAAUAAUAUCAAAAUGUGUGAGUUUGCACUGAAGGACUGGGCACUGUUUUUACUGUUUAGCAGCUGCUUUCUCUUCUGCUUGUAAUGCCUACAAAUUAUCAAGGUAAAAACAUUGCAGAAAGUCUGCAGAUCUUACGACGUUGUAUUGUAACUCCAAAAACUUCUGUUUGAUACCCGCCUACUGUAGAGUAUCAAAGGAGAAACACCAGCAUGGAUGAGGCCACUCCUUCCAAAAACAGCGCAGGUGCGUCUUGCUCUCUUCUGAUGAGCCCAGGUUGUGAAAUAGCACAGCGCACAUGGCCAGUCCUAGACUGACCCUUCAACAACAUACACAUUAGUGUGAGGUCUGUUAACUCUCUGGGAACAUUCCUCUGAUUUCUCCUUAAUUCACACAGGCUGGAAUGAGGUAGACAUUAUUUUCUUUAAAUGUGACCUGCAUUUUCAGCUGAGCCUUGUUCAUGUUUAAAAAUGUGCAUUGUUACUUGGCAGCAGGCAUUAAAAGAUACUCCGUAAGAGUUAUGCUACCUUCCUGUCCCAACAUUAGUAAAAAACACCAACUCUAACUUUGUCCAAUGAGCACGUAUACCAAAGGAUAUAAACAGAUGCAAAAACGUCUGGCAUCUGCUCGCUCACAGAUAUGGAAAAAUGUUAUGAGCAGAGAGGAGAGAUUCUCAAGAUAUCGGCUGUCAGAUCUAGAUUAAAAGAAUUGUCUAGGAUUACUGGCAUACAGAAAGCACCUGUUUAUCCCAACGGAGAACUUCGGAGCCACUGUUCAAUACAAUAAUUUUGCCUAGGAAAAAAAAAAAAA